RNAcentral lists this ribosomal RNA (433 nucleotides) under uncultured bacterium. RNAcentral's name for it is "bacterial SSU rRNA". It matches the Rfam family "Bacterial small subunit ribosomal RNA", at positions 28 to 496 of the family's 1533-position model. The record is from RNAcentral.
AACGAACGCUGGCGGCAUGCCUAACACAUGCAAGUCGAACGCGUGGCUUCGGCCACGAGUGGCGCACGGGUGAGUAACGCGUGGGAACCUGCCCAUCGGUACGGAACAACCGCGGGAAACUGCGGCUGAUACCGUAUAUACCCUGCGGGGAAGGAUUAUCGCCGAUGGAGGGGCCCGGCGUCGGAUUAGGUAGUUGGUGGGGUAACGGGCCUACCAACGCCUCGCGAUCCGUAGCUGGUCUGAGAGGAUGAUCAGCCACACUGGGACGUGAGACACGGCCCACGACUCCUACGGGAGGCAGCAGUGGGGAAGUAUUGGUACGAAUGGGGGCGAACCCUCGAUCCAGCAAUGCCGCGUGAGUGAAGAAGGCCUUAGGGUUGUAAAGCUCUUUCGGGCGGGACGAUGAUGACGGUACCCGCAGAAGAAGCCCCGG